This 111-nucleotide small nuclear RNA is filed under the name Callithrix jacchus (white-tufted-ear marmoset). Its description in RNAcentral is "7SK RNA". It matches the Rfam family "7SK RNA", at positions 3 to 106 of the family's 331-position model. Rfam says of the family: 7SK was discovered as an abundant small nuclear RNA in the mid-70s but a possible function has only recently been suggested. Lineage: Eukaryota; Metazoa; Chordata; Mammalia; Primates; Cebidae. The record is from Rfam by way of RNAcentral.
AUGUGAGGGCAAGCUGGCUGUGACAUCUAUCACCCCAUCGAUCACCAGGGUUGAUUAACCUGAUCUGGCUGGUUAGGUGGGUAUCUGCUCUGGGUGUGGUGGCUCACCCCU